Molecule: non-coding RNA, 9077 nt
Organism: Podarcis lilfordi (Lilford's wall lizard)
Lineage: Eukaryota; Metazoa; Chordata; Lepidosauria; Squamata; Lacertidae
Source: the annotation of a GenBank genome assembly
CGUCAGUUGAGCAGGUCAUUCCAGCAUUCACCAACUGAGGUGGCUGCCCUACUCUGCCUAAUGGCAGAACCGGCCCUAACAGUAGGAUCCUUGACCUUUUCAGUCUGUUUCCUUAAAAAUUCUCCGUGCAGGCAUGUGUUGCUGGGCACAUAUCUGGUUUUCUGGUCAGUUGGCUAUUGCAGUUCUGCUGUCCCUUUGUUCCCUUUCAAGAAGGUUCAGAAAUCUACCCAAUCUCUACAUUGGAAAACACAUUUCUUUCUUGUUUCUGUCCAUCCGCUCCAACUGUUUUAAAGUUGCAGCUCUUGUAAACCACAAUCAAUAUUAAUAACAGUUCAUCUUAUCAAAAAUGACAGCCCCAGGACUCGACGCCAAAAGAAAGGAAGGAAAAAAAGAGAACAAGAGCACUGUUCAACAGCUAACUUUAUAAUUUAGGAAUGUGACAAAAUGGAAGGGAAACUUUGGGGGCAAGGAAGGAGGGGGGCAGGCUGAGACUCUGCUUUGCCCUUGAAGACAAAGCAAAUGCAAUUUUCAUGCUGAUUUGUUAGUGUGUGCAUUUUCAGAAUGCCUUUGAGUCAAAGAAGGCCGAGCCGUUGCUUACCAGAGGCAGAAGCUGAAAUCAUCUUCCCAGAUUAACAUGAUGUUCUCCACAGCCCUAGUCAACAUACAUCCAGAGAAUGAACUAGCUCAGAAAAGUUCAGGGGAAGUUUCAAGGCCAUGGGGCCUACACUCAAGUAGGAGGGGAGGGGACGUGAAAACAUCGUCCCCAAAAAAAGCGGAAGAGAGGAGAAAGGGAGGAAAGGGUAAAAGGUUGCCAGUCCUGGCCAGUGUAGAUGUGGCAAGGCUUAAGAAGUUGUGGUGUCCCAUACACACACACACACACACGCACACAGUCAUACCUUGGUUCUCAAACACCUUGGUACUCAAACAACUUGGAACCCAAACACUGCAAACCCGGAAGUAAGUGUUCCGCUUUGUGAACUUUUUUCGGUAGCUAAACAUGCUCCAUUUUGAGUGUUACGCUUCCAUUUUGAGUGCCAAACUUCCAUUUUGAGUGUUACGCUGAGGUCUGUCUCUGUUUUUGCUAUUUAUUUUGCAUUUCUGUUUUUGCAGCUCUUUUUGUUUGGUUUUUGUGACUGUAUAGAACCCAGUUCAGAUACUGAUGGAUUGAUUGUGUGACUGCAGUACAUUGUUUAUUACUUUCAUUUUAUGGAUCAACGGUUUGUUGCAUAGUAAAAUUCAUGUUAAAUUGCUGUUUUAGGGGUUGUUUUUAAAAGUGUGGAACGGACUAAUUCAUUUUGCAUUGCUUUCUAUGGGAAAGUGUGCCUUGGUUUUGGAAUACUUUGGUUUUGGAACAGACUUCCGGAACAGAUUGAGACAAAAUGGAAAAUGCUGCCCACCAGGGGGAGUAAAAGGAGGCAGGUGGGAACCCCUUUACUAUGCUGAUCCUGCCCAAAGCAGUAACAGCUUCUACCAAACACCUAACAUAAGUAAGUCUUAUUUCACUGAGGAGAAGGCGAAGGAGGGGGAAGAAUCCCAACAACACCCAACACCUAGGGCCAAUUGGGAUUGGGAAAAAUCUAUUCCAGGCCCAUCAACCAGCAACCCAACUAAUUCAAUGAGGCUCUAAUCCAAGGAUGGAUGGGAGGCUAACAGGGAAAAAUUACCCUGAACCCUCGUGGACGAGGUCUUUUAAGGCCCUUGGUGCAUCUUACCACUUGCAAGAUCCCAUAGUAUGAUCCCAUCCUUGAUAGCGCAAGGAGGAAGCCUGACUCUGUCUGUCCAGGCUACAUGCUGACAAUGAUACCCUGUGUGCAGCUGUGCCUGGAACUAAGCUUUUAUGAGUUAGGGCACAGAUUCAGUUCCUGCAGCCUGAAAAUGUGGACAAGAUGUUUGAAGGGGGCCAGCUAAACACACACCCUCUUGACCUUUGAUAUUCCUGGCUUAGAAGAGCCAGCCAAAGGGAUGGACUGGAGUCUGUCUGAAGAGUGGUAAAUGACUCGUAGCAGGAGAGGGAGAUGCCACCUGCCUUUGCCAGUCAUCAGGGAAGCAGAGACAUCAUAGAAUCGUACCUUGGAGUCCAGUAGCAUCUGCCACAGGUUCUCUAUCCAGGGAUGGAUGACCUUUUAAUUUCCAGUCCAAGGGCUGCACUCUCUUUGUGGUCACAUCAACGGGCCACAUGCCAAUGAUGGACAAGAUCAUAGGCAAAAGUAGGCAGAGCAACAGGUGUAAAUUUCGUCUUCGUGCAGUUGGCUAGUUUCUGUCCUCCAUCACUGUCAGAGUUGAAGGACAUGUUCAAGCCUAAUAAAAACACUCAAGGAGGUGGCCAAGCAGAGACAUUGAGGGGUGUCACCUGGAGAGGUGAGGCACCUUGGGGAGAGUCCCAAGGGCCAGACAGUGAAGGGCCUCAUUUGGCCCCCCCAGGUCUGACUCCCCAUAGCUGACACUCACCGCCAGUAAACAUAGACAACAGUUUUAUUCUAUAACUUGGAAAAGUACUGGACCUACAUUGUGGUCAAAACACAACACUGCAGCUUUUCAAGUCGAAUUUCAAGGGAGGCGAGAGUGAGUGGAAUUCUGUAGUUUCAGACGCUAGAAAGGAUUUUUUCUCUCUCCAUAAGUGUAAUUUAAAGGAAGAAAGGGAGCCAGAAAACCAGGUAUUGUUUAAAGGAAAAAGAGAAAAAGGGAUUAUUUCAAAGAUUCACCUGUCAUGUCUGCUAUUGAUUUUCAUAAACAGCUUGCUAACCAGCCCGUUCCUUUCUGAUCAUGUUCCCUGGCUCACGCAGGGGGAUCAUGACAGGUUCCCAAAUUAAUUUUUUUGCCCAGGAGAAAACCCCACACAGGCGAAGCUCGCGAGGAAGGCCCAGCACUUCCAAGUCAAUGCUACCCAGGUGCUGUUAUCUUAUUGUACUUGACGGGCGAGAAGAGAGGAAGCCGGCAUUGUUAAAAACCUGACAUGACUAUGAAUGUGGAGGAACUCUCGUUUCCUUACAAUUACUUACUGCUAAAACACACACAGAGAGAUGCAUACAAAGGGAAGAAGGGCCUCAGCUGACAAUUAAUGGGCAUGCAGUCAUUGUAGCAUAGACUGAGUGGGGACUUUGAGGAAGCCUGCAGCACAUUGCUGUAUUUUCUUGCAAAGUGACACAUGUUUUCACCUUCCAGCUGCAGUACUGAAAAUGGGUGUGGGCCCCUCGAGAUGGGUGGGUUUGGAAGUGUGUAUUCUAACAUGUCAACGACACAAUAACAGCACAUUAGUGAUGGGUUUAUAUUACUAGUAGUGGUGCUGGUGCUGGUUGUAUCACUAUCAUUUUCAAUUGCGAAUUGCUUCCCAUGAGGCAUCCCAAAGCAAUUUACAAGAUAAUAACGCACAUAAAACAGUUGCAUUUAUUAAAAAAACAAAAAAAGUUGAAACAAAUGGAUAGAUACAAAAAUAACUUUUAAGAACAAUUAUAGUGUAAGAAGAGUUUAAAAGCACAUACAUAAACUAAUUGCAAAUUCAAGGCUGAUACCAGCUGGGAUAAAGAUUUGCAUACAAGAACACCCACAUACCAUUCCACUUCCAUCAUUUUAGUAUGUGUCCUCAAUGUCACAUACCCUCUAAGGUUUCUCCGAUUAAAAUAGGGACUUCCUAUUCAAUAAUAAUAAUAAUAAUAAUAAUUUAUUAUUUAUACCCCACCCAUCUGACUGCAUUGCUGCAGCCACUCUGGGACUUCCAACACAUACAAAAACAUAAAAAAGCAUUAAACAUUUUAAAACUUCCCAAUACAAGGCUGCCUUCAGGUGUCUUCUAAUGGUUGUACAGUUGCUUAUCUCCUUGGCUUGGGGGUUGCAUAACUCCAUACCCUCCAACUUUUCACCUAUGAAAAUAAGGGUGUCUUACGGAUAAGCAGGACAUUCCAGGAUCAAAAGAGAAACUGGGAUGGCUUCUGUAAAUCCAGGACUGUCUCUGGGAAAUACGGACACUUUAAGGAUCCGAUGUUACUGAUUGGAUGGGUACUUGCAGGGCCGGCCCACCCAUGAGGCAAGAUGGGGUGUCUGCCUCAGGCAGCAGGAUCCACAGGGGCAACAGAUCCCAAUGUAGCCCUUUAUUCCCCUCUGGUUCCUGAUGUAGAUCUUCACGUACCCCUUCUUCCCUGGUGCGGAGCCAUUUUGUGGUUUGCCUUAGUUUCCAAAAGGUCUUGAGACAGCCCUGGGUAUCUGUGAGCUAUAGUGCAACAGGAGCAGGAGAAAAAGAACCACAGAACAUAGUUAGCCUUGGUGAAGACUUGACAUUUUCAUCCCCAAAAGUUUUUGAGUUUCUGCUGAAAUAAGGCUGCAUUUUAAUGUUGUAUUUUAAUCUUGUUUUUUAAGUUGUAUUUCAAUCAAUUGUUUUAUAUCUGGUGUUAGCCGCCCUGAGCCCGGUCUUGGCUGGGAGGGCGGGGUAUAAAUAAUGUUUAUUAUUAUUAUUAUUAUUAUUAUUAUUAUUAUUAUUAUAACAUUCGUGGUAUAAAAAGUUACAGGGUUUCAGCAGUGGCAUGCGCUGAUGGAGAACGAGCGAGUGAGAUGUGGUCAAUCCUACUCCUAUGCAGAACAGACCCUUUGAAAUUUAUUAACAUGACUAAUUUAGGGUCGCAUUCCUUUAAAACACCUUGAUGCCACAUUAAACAGUCAUGGCUUCCCCAAAAGAAUUAUGUGAACUGUACUUUGUUAAAGGUGCUGAGAAUUGUUCAGAGGUGCCUAUUCCCCGACCGGAACUACAAUUCCCAGAGUAAUUUAACAAUCAAUCCCUCUUCACAGGGAACUCUGCGUAUGUUUGUUUCAGCCCUGAGUGAGAGUCAAGAGGCUGAGUAGGGAAGGAAAAAGAACUGACAGUGGUUUAAGUGGAUGAGUAUGUUUGUAUUAUUGCAAUGUUUUUUAAAUGUUUAUUUUUGUAAAAUUAGUUUUGGUUGUUUGUUGCUGUUUUUGUAUUCUGUGCACCAGGGAUGUCCAACAGGUCGAUCGCAAUCUACUGGUAGAUCCCUGGCAGGUUUUGGUAGAUCACGGUCGGUCGAUGGGUCCCUUUCCUUAGUGUUGGUAAAAUAGAAUCCGGCCCUGAACUCCUCGCUCUGCCCUCCAUUGUUGCACGAUCUGCAGAACGGAAAACGGAGUUUACUCAGUGAGGCAGUUUGUUUCCCCAGCGAUCUGUUGGUAAGUGGCUGCUCCCCUUUCUCCCUUGAGCUUAGGCUUGAAUUCUAAAAAAAUCAGGGCUUUCCUCCUCCCUAAAAAUAGCUCAACAACUUUGACCUGAACCCCCGAAAAGGGGGUAGAUCACUGCCAGUUUUUAAUUCUGUGAGUAGAUCACAGUCUCUUGGGAGUUGGCCACCCCUGCUGUACAUGAUAGAUAGAUAGAUAGAUAGAUAGAUAGAUAAAAAGGUAAAGGGACCCCUGACCAUUAGGUCCAGUUGUGGACGAUUCUGGGGUUGCGGCGCUCAUCUCGCCAAGGGAGCUGACGUACAGCUUCUGGGUCAUGUGGCCAGCAUGACUAAGCCACUUCUGGCAAACCAGAGCAGCACACGGAAACGCCGUUUACCUUCCCGCCGGAGCAGUACCUAUUUAUCUACUUGCACUUUGACGUGCUUUCGAACUGCUAGGUUGGCAGGAGCAGGGACCGAGCAACGGGAGCUCACCCCGUCAUGGGGAUUCAAACAGCUGACCUUCUGAUCGGCAAGUCCUAGGCUCUGUGGUUUAACCCACAGCGUCACCUGCGUCCCUUUGAUAGAUAGAUAGAUAAAAUAAAAGAAUCCAACUCCAUUUACCUGGGAGUAAACCCCACUGUAUUCAAGAGGACUUACUGUUUGAGUAGCUGUCAGUGACUAUUAGCCACAAUGACCGUGCUCUACCUCCAUGGCUGGAGACAGUAAUGCUUUUGAAUACCAGCUGCUGGAAACCACAGAAGAGGAAAAUGCUCUUGUCCUACUUGCGGCCUUCUCAAUGGGGCAUCUAAUUGGUCAGUGUGGGGAAAGGAUGCUAGGCUAGAUGAGCCAUUGGCCUGAUCCAGCAGGUUCUUCUUAUGUUCUUAUAAUGAACAUAUAGAUGAUGGGGUUCUAUUUAUGCAUGUGUGCAUGUGUGUGCGUGUGUGUGUGUGUGUGUGUGUGUGUGUGCAUGUAUAAGAGAGAGAGAGAGAGAAUAGGAGAGAUCGCUAUACUGUUGAGUUCAGUUCUAAAGGAUUGGGUGUCAGUCUCCAAACAAGUCUGCCAUCACGUUUUCCGCAGCAGGGACUUUAUGUCUGUGCACUAUGCUCAGCACCGCAUCUCCAUAGCAAGCCCCAAACCCCAUACAAACAGCACAUCAAAGACAUCUGGAAAGCGGAAGGUAAUUUGCACUGCUUCAACUCCUCACCGAUAAGUCUCCAGCAAUUAUUCUUGCAGAGAGGAGAAUGCAAGUUUCGGUGUAAUUAGGCCAAGCUGAUGUGCUUAAGAACCAAGGUGGAGAGAGAAAAUGGAAUAAAGGGACCCUGCUGACCCUUAGCUAUUUCUUUAAAAUACACACUCAGAGACCACAUUCAGUGAGUUCUCUUCAGACCUUGAAGCAUUUAAAAUAAUGCAGUUUCAUCUCACACCACAGGUUUUUCUUUUCUAUUUUGACUUCCAGCAAAAGAUUCUGGACAUGACGAACAUCAUAGGAGAGAGACUGUGGGGUGGAGGGGAUGCCAGGAGGGUUUUACCUUCUCAGAAAAACAGCGGUGCUAUUGUCUAAUAAACAGUGAAUCCAUAACCAGAGUAAUUUCUCUGCCAGGAACAAAGUGGGGAUUCCUGCAGAAAGUUGACUUGCCAUCAAUUCUGGAGGGUUUUUUGUUCGUUAAUUCUUUAAAGUGAGAGUUGAAACAAGCUGAUUGGUUCUAAGUUUGAAUCUUGAAAACGUAACCAAUUAUUGAGUUCCAUUUGGGGGUUUCGACAAACCUCAAAGCUUGCAGCUAGUGCUAGUCUUAUUAAGAGUAGACCAAUGGAAAAUAAUGACCCAUUGGAAAUAUUGUUGUUGUGAUUGUUUAGUUGUUUAGUCGUGUCCAACUCUUCGUGAUCCCAUGGACCAGAGCACGCCAGGCACUCCUGUCUUCCACUGUCUCCAGCAGUUUGGUCAAACUCAUGCUUGUAGCUUCGAGAACACCGUCCAACCAUCUCAUCCUCUGUCGUCCCCUUCUUUCCCAACAGCAGGGUCUUUUCCAGGGAGUCUUCUCUUCUCAUGAGGUGGCCAAAGUAUUGGAGCCUCAGCUUCAGGAUCUGUCCUUCCAGUGAGCACUCAGGGCUGAUUUCCUUAUGAAUGGAUAGGUUUGAUCUUCUUGCAGUCCAUGGGACUCUCAAGAGUCUCCUCCAGCACCAGAAUUCAAAAGCAUCAAUUCUUUGGUGAUCAGCCUUCUUUAUGGUCCAGCUCUCACUUCCAUACAUCACUACUGGGAGAAGCAUAGCCUUAACUAUACGGACCUUUGUUGGCAAGGUGAUGUCUCUGCUUUUUAAGAUGCUGUCUAGGUUUGUCAUUGCCUGGAAAUAUUGGCUUAUGCCAAUAGCCGAUCUAGUCCAGCAUCCUGUUCUCGCAAUGGCCAACUACAUGCCUGUGCAAACCCCGCAAGCAAGACGCCAGCACUAGAGCACUCUCAGCUCUUGCAGUUUCUGGCAACUGGUAUUCAACCCCUCUUCCCAGGUAACUCUGGGAACUGUGGUUUUGUGAGGAAAAUAGGGGUCUCAACACCCUUAACAAACUACCCUUCCUGUGAUUAUUCGGGGGGAACCACAACUGUGUUGAGUGGUAUGAUACCGAUUUAAAUUCAUAGUUCGGAUGGAGGCAGAGAAUGGUUCAGGGUUAUGAAUAGCUGUUUAUUGUUGCAUUGUUGUGCCUCUGUGGUCUAGUUAUGUGCUUUCCCCCUUCCCAAUUCUAAGAACCCUGUAGCUCAAGGCCACCCCCCAAAACAUCAUACACACAUCACAGAAAGAGGUGGUCCCCAGCAGAAAUUUGAGUGUGUUGCUUCUCUCCUGUUUGCCAGGAUACCUGAUAAUGCCUUAUCUGAAUGCCUUUUCUGGGUAGCCUGGCCAUUCCUUUGAGAUGGUAAAUACUUAGAUCCUGAAUCUCUUACGCAUAUUGAUAGUGUGCUCAGCUUAGCAGAUACUUCUCAGACUGUAUUUGCAGGGAGGUGUAAGCCCCUAUGGUCCAAAGACAAUUGGAAAGCUUUUCCCAUAUCCUUCCUCCUUGCAGAGAAAUAUUUGAGGUCAAUUUGGGAGAGUCAAAAUGGCUGCAGAAUUGUUCUCCUGUACUAUUUCAGACACAUAGUUUAUAUACUUAAGUAUGUGUUUGCCUUGUACAUUUAUGAAAUAUAUAUAUAUAUAUGACCUUAGAAUUCCUAUAACAUACACAAACAUUUUUUACAUGGCAAGGUGUUCCAGAUGUUAGGUUUCUGUUUGUACCACUGCUUCUUCAGCUGCUCUGAUAAAACUGAAACAAUGGUGUUUCCACAGGGGCAGUUCUAGGACUUUGGGGAUGGAAUGCUCAGAAUGGCUUCAUCGGCUGAAUCUUUGCAAAACUGAUCCUAUACUGCAGAUUGUUCAUGCGUCCACCAUCCAGAAGUUCAUUACAUUUUUAUCAGAGCGGCUGCUGAAAGUGGGAGCUGAACUCCUUUGCCACAUUAAAAACCAACAAGGUUAAUCACAAGGAGGGUUAUAAAUUCUAUGAACGGAAAUGAAUUUGCAAGCCAGUCUUUAUAUCUCUGAACUAGUUGCUAUUUGCUGCUGCUGCUGCAUGUGUGUGUGUGUGUGUGUGUGUGUGUGUGUGAUCUUCCGCUUGUUGGUGCUAGUAGUUAAAACGGCAUCUUCUUCCUUACAGCCUCAGAAACUCUUUGCAAACUCAACAGGAUGUAAUCAUACCUUCUCUGCGGAACAGCCACUGUUUCCAUGUUCUUGACCUCAUAUGAUUGCAGGGUUGCAUGAGGCAGCUUUCAACAACAGUUUGAGUUUCAAAAAAGGGGAGCCCUCUGCAUGGAUUGUCAAUGUAAUUGUUUCUCUUAAAAGGCACUCUCUGCCCUUUUAAAUCUUUUCCUUUCAGUCUUCAACCUGUCGUCCUCACACACACACACA